ACGAACGCUGGCGGCGUGCUUAACACCUGCAAGUCGAACGAAAAGAGGGAAAGAGCUUGCUCUUUCCGGAAUUGAGUGGCAAACGGGUGAGUAACACGUAAACAACCUGCCUUCAGGAUGGGGACAACAGACGGAAACGACUGCUAAUACCGAAUAAGUUCCAAGAGCCGCAUGGCCCAUGGAAGAAAAGGUGGCCUCUACCUGUAAGCUAUCGCCUGAAGAGGGGUUUGCGUCUGAUUAGCUGGUUGGAGGGGUAACGGCCCACCAAGGCGACGAUCAGUAGCCGGUCUGAGAGGAUGAACGGCCACACUGGAACUGAGACACGGUCCAGACUCCUACGGGAGGCAGCAGUGGGGAAUCUUCCGCAAUGGGCGAAAGCCUGACGGAGCAACGCCGCGUGAGUGAUGACGGCCUUCGGGUUGUAAAACUCUGUGAUCCGGGACGAAAAGGCAGAGUGCGAAGAACAAACUGCAUUGACGGUACCGGAAAAGCAAGCCACGGCUAACUACGUG
This 512-nucleotide ribosomal RNA is filed under the name uncultured bacterium. RNAcentral describes it as "partial 16S ribosomal RNA". It matches the Rfam family "Bacterial small subunit ribosomal RNA", at positions 30 to 507 of the family's 1533-position model. The record is from RNAcentral.